RNAcentral lists this ribosomal RNA (605 nucleotides) under Staphylococcus sp. Its description in RNAcentral is "bacterial SSU rRNA". Lineage: Bacteria; Bacillati; Bacillota; Bacilli; Caryophanales; Staphylococcaceae. The record is from RNAcentral.
AUGAGGAGCUUGCUCCUUUGACGUUAGCGGCGGACGGGUGAGUAACACGUGGGUAACCUACCUAUAAGACUGGGAUAACUUCGGGAAACCGGAGCUAAUACCGGAUAAUAUUUUGAACCGCAUGGUUCGAUAGUGAAAGAUGGUUUUGCUAUCACUUAUAGAUGGACCCGCGCCGUAUUAGCUAGUUGGUAAGGUAACGGCUUACCAAGGCGACGAUACGUAGCCGACCUGAGAGGGUGAUCGGCCACACUGGAACUGAGACACGGUCCAGACUCCUACGGGAGGCAGCAGUAGGGAAUCUUCCGCAAUGGGCGAAAGCCUGACGGAGCAACGCCGCGUGAGUGAUGAAGGUCUUCGGAUCGUAAAACUCUGUUAUUAGGGAAGAACAUACGUGUAAGUAACUGUGCACGUCUUGACGGUACCUAAUCAGAAAGCCACGGCUAACUACGUGCCAGCAGCCGCGGUAAUACGUAGGUGGCAAGCGUUAUCCGGAAUUAUUGGGCGUAAAGCGCGCGUAAGCGGUUUUUUAAGUCUGAUGUGAAAGCCCACGGCUCAACCGUGGAGGGUCAUUGGAAACUGGAAAACUUGAGUGCAGAAGARGAAAG